AACGAACGCUGGCGGCAUGCCUAACACAUGCAAGUCGAACGAGACCUUCGGGUCUAGUGGCGCACGGGUGCGUAACGCGUGGGAACCUGCCCUUAGGUUCGGAAUAACUCCCCGAAAGGGGUGCUAAUACCGGAUAAUGUCUUCGGACCAAAGAUUUAUCGCCUUUGGAUGGGCCCGCGUUGGAUUAGCUAGUUGGUAGGGUAAAAGCCUACCAAGGCGACGAUCCAUAGCUGGUCUGAGAGGAUGAUCAGCCACACUGGGACUGAGACACGGCCCAGACUCCUACGGGAGGAAGCAGUGGGGAAUAUUGGACAAUGGGCGAAAGCCUGAUCCAGCAAUGCCGCGGGAGUGAUGAAGGCCUUAGGGUUGUAAAGCUCUUUUACCCGGGAGGAUAAUGACAGUACCGGGAGAAAAAGCUCCGGCUAACUCCGUG
Molecule: ribosomal RNA, 433 nt
Filed under: uncultured bacterium
Lineage: Bacteria
Description: partial 16S ribosomal RNA
Rfam family: Bacterial small subunit ribosomal RNA
Source: RNAcentral